RNAcentral lists this non-coding RNA (29 nucleotides) under Mus musculus (house mouse). Lineage: Eukaryota; Metazoa; Chordata; Mammalia; Rodentia; Muridae. The record is from RNAcentral.
UGUUCUCUUCUGCUGUCUCUCCCUCCAAU